GCUUGCUAAUGAAAUUCUUAGUGGCGGACGGGUUAGUAACACGUGAGAAUCCUACCCUUGAGUGGGGAAUAGCCUUUCGAAAGGAAGAUUAAUGCCCCAUAGUCUCUACGGAGUAAAGAUGCCUUCGGGUGUCGCUUAAGGAUGGGCUCGCGGCCUAUCAGCUAGUUGGUGAGGUAAGAGCUCACCAAGGCAACGACGGGUAGCUGGUCUGAGAGGACGAUCAGCAACACUGGAACUGAGACACGGUCCAGACACCUACGGGUGGCAGCAGUCGAGAAUCAUUCACAAUGGACGAAAGUCUGAUGGUGCAACGCCGCGUGGAGGAUGACGGCCCUAGGGUUGUAAACUCCUGUCAUCAGGGAGUAAGACUUAUUCGUUAAUAGCGUGUAAGUUUGAUAGUACCUGAAGAGGAAGGGACGGCUAACUUCGUGCCAGCAGCCGCGGUAAUACGAAGGUCCCAAGCGUUGUUCGGAAUAACUGGGCGUAAAGCGUGUGUAGGCCGCGCGGAAAGUCGGAUGUGAAAGCCCAA
Molecule: ribosomal RNA, 529 nt
Filed under: uncultured Roseibacillus sp.
Lineage: Bacteria; Pseudomonadati; Verrucomicrobiota; Verrucomicrobiia; Verrucomicrobiales; Verrucomicrobiaceae
Description: bacterial SSU rRNA
Rfam family: Bacterial small subunit ribosomal RNA
Source: RNAcentral